GACGAACGCUGGCGGCGUGCUUAACACAUGCAAGUCGAACGAAGUGGCGAACGGGUGAGUAAUACGUUGGUAACCUGCCCUCCUUUUUGGGAUAAGCCUUGGUAACGGGGUCUACUUCCGAAUUAAGGGGGAUGGGGUCGCGGCUUAUUAGUUUGUUGGUGGGGUGAUGGCUUACCAAGGCGUUGACGGGUAGCCGGCCUGAGAGGAUGACCGGCCACAUUGGGACUGAGAUACGGCCCAGACUCCUACGGGAGGCAGCAGUGGGGAAUCUUCGGCAAUGGGCGAAAGUCUGACCGAGCAACGCCGCGUGAGUGAAGAAGGCCUUAGGGUUGUAAAGUACUUUCAGCGGGGAGGCGUUACCCGCAGAAGAAGCACCGGCUAACUCCGUGCCAGCAGCCGCGGUAAUAC
RNAcentral lists this ribosomal RNA (408 nucleotides) under uncultured bacterium. RNAcentral describes it as "partial 16S ribosomal RNA". It matches the Rfam family "Bacterial small subunit ribosomal RNA", at positions 28 to 526 of the family's 1533-position model. The record is from RNAcentral.